RNAcentral lists this ribosomal RNA (355 nucleotides) under uncultured Planctomycetota bacterium. RNAcentral describes it as "bacterial SSU rRNA". It matches the Rfam family "Bacterial small subunit ribosomal RNA", at positions 217 to 563 of the family's 1533-position model. Lineage: Bacteria; Pseudomonadati; Planctomycetota. The record is from RNAcentral.
GCUUAGAGAGGGGUCAAUGUCCUAUCAGCUAGUUGGUAAGGUAAUGGCUUACCAAGGCUAAGACGGGUAGCCGGCCUGAGAGGGUGGUCGGCCACACUGGGACUGAGACACUGCCCAGACUCCUACGGGAGGCUGCAGUCGAGAAUCUUUCGCAAUGCCCGAAAGGGUGACGAAGCGACGCCGCGUGUGGGAAGAAGGCCUUCGGGUUGUAAACCACUGUCGGGAGUUAAGAAAUGUAAGGGUGUUAAUAGCAUCCUUGCUUGACUAAGGCUCCGGAGGAAGCCACGGCUAACUCUGUGCCAGCAGCCGCGGUAAUACAGAGGCGGCAAGCGUUGUUCGGAAUUAUUGGGCGUAA